Molecule: small RNA, 127 nt
Filed under: Marmota monax (woodchuck)
Lineage: Eukaryota; Metazoa; Chordata; Mammalia; Rodentia; Sciuridae
Source: RNAcentral
GCCGGGUGUGGUGGCACAUGCCUGUAAUCCCAGCAGCUUAGGAGGCUGAGGCAGGAGGAUCUCAAAUUCAAAGCCAGCCUCAGCAACUUAGUGAGACCAUAAGUAACCUAGCAAGACCCUGUCUCUA